GUCUGUGAGUUCGAGCCCCGCAUCAGGCUCUGUGCUGACAGCUCAGAGCCUGGAGCCUGUUUCAGAUUCUGUGUCUCCCUCUCUCUCUGCCCCUCCCCUGCUCAUGCUCUGUCUCUGUCUCAAAAAUAAAUAAAAACAUUAAAAAAAUUGUUUUUAAAAAAAGAGUACAAUUAUCUUGAUAAUUGCGCCGAGUGAUAUAUGGAAGUGUUGAAUCACUAUAUUGUACACUUGAAACUAAUAUAGCACCGUAUGUUAACCACAGUGGAAUUAAAAUAAAAAAAAAUAAAGUAUCAGAAGAUUUGCUAACAAAAAGAAAAUUGCUGUGAGUUAAAGUUAAGUGUUCCCACUGAUGAUAGAUAGAUAUAAGCAUAUGAAGUGAUGGAUCUGUUAAUUGACUCAUUGGGGGAAAUCCUUUCACAAUGUAUACAUAUAUCAAUUCAUCACCUUGUACACUUGACAUAUCUUACAAUUUAUUUGUCAAUUAUACCUCAGUGAAGCAGAGGGGGAAAUAUUUAUAUUGGGUUAGGUGAAAAUUAAAUGCCUAAAAGUAAAUUGGAUUCAUCUUUAUCCUCAUUGACAGGAAAAUUUUGAUCAGGUUGAAGACCCUUUUAUAAAUUUUGCACAUAAAUAAUGGGGCAAUUUCUUAGGAAUUACCCUAAUACUUAAUGACAUUAUAAUAAACAUCAGGAUGCCUUAUAAAGACAAGAGGUUUUGUCUAAAAACAAAAACAAAAAGUUGUUUUCCCAAAAAUACUUGAGUCCCUUCACAGGCAGAAGUGAACACCCCUCAUACUAUGGGAAUGCUUGUACAAUCAUGAACAUCCUUCCUUCUGUCUCUGAUUCUUUAUUCCAAGAACUUUUGAUACUUAUAGUUAGUGAAUGACUUGAAGUAGUAUCUUUUUAGUGACAACACUGGAUUUAAUUUAAAACGUAUGGCAGAAAAUCCAUCGCUUCAGUAAUGUACUUACUUUGUGUCUAUUAAGGAUGGCCUUUGCUCCCAAUAAAGUUAUGUAGGCACAGUUGUUCUCUAGUCAUUAUAACAUUAUUUUCUUAAUGAGAUGGUUUUACUUUUACUUCAAAAUGAAAUAAAAUAUAUUUUAUUGUACUCUCCUUGGGUCUAUUCAAAUUAUGAAAAGCAUAAUGCUUAUUAAUGACAAGUGAAGAAAGCAAUGGCUAAUAUUCUCUCAUCCUUCCUGCCUGCCUCUGAAAAUGAUAAUUACAAUUUUAAUUUGAACACUAGGCAUACUUUUGAAAUGUUCACCAUGUGAUACUUCUAAGUUGUCUCUAUAGUUAUUUUUUUAUUAUGAAUCAUACAGGCACUAUAGUUUGAAUUAAAUUUUUCAAUCAUAAAAACAUUUAUAUUACUACUAUUGAUUUAAACAUUAAGAGUUUCAAGAUGUAGUCUUUCCCAGUUAGUGAUAUUUAUGGUAUACACUUUCAUAAAUUUAAUGGCCACCAUUGCAGAGGAGAUUACUGCUAUUAUGAAGCGUUAAAGGGGUCUGGCUAUUUUCUCAUAAGCAAAUGCUAUGCCAACAAAGCUCAGCAGAGUUAUCUGUUUUCAUAGGAUUUUUCUAAAUCAAAGAUUACAUUUUAUUCAAUGGUGAAAAUAUGUUAUUUACAAACAAAAACAGAGGAAAGAAUUAGCUAAAAUUAAAAACAUUUCUUAUUUAUGUAGAGUACCACUUAUCUUAAAAUGCAUUACAUUUUUUAAUUUUUAAUAUAAAUAUAUAGUUAUCAAAUUAUUUUGAUAAUUAUAUUAUUUUUAAAAUAUUGUUCCUAAAAUCCUUUUAGACUCAAUGAAAAAAAAGUGGUUACCCAUAACAAAGUUGCAGUAAGAGCAAACUUAAAAGCCUUACUUUAGACAUAGAAGUGUGGCCUUUACCUUCAGACUAAUGUUCUGAAAUUUUUAUGUAAUUUUCUAUUUCCUUAUUACCUCUUUAUAAUUCCUCAAAGAAUUCUUAUUUCAUAUGUAUUUGCUUAGAAUGUUUUUCUAAUAGCUUCUUUUCAAUAUGCCUUUAGAAAACUUCUUGCAAAAGGUAGCCUACAAAUAUAUUACAUUAAUUUUAAAACAUGUACUGAGUAAAAUAUUCACCAACUUAUAAAAUUUUCAACUAUUUUUAUAAUUUUGGGCAAUAGUGGAAAUAGAUCACUUUGUUAACAUUCUUUUUUGUUAUGCUUUUCAUUACUUUGAAAUUUCCGUAAUGCAUUUUAUUCAUCCCUGGCAAAUAUGUCCCAUAUCCACCUCUGUGAAUCCUGGAUUACAGAUUACUAGGUGGUGCUUUGUUUUGCUUCAUGCCUUGGUUCAGAGUAUUAAUUGUGGAUAUCAUAGUUCUGGUGAAAAUUUUUCUUAUUAAAAAAUCUUCAGGGCACCAUGAGAAGAUGGCAGGAUAGGAGGACCCUAAGCCCCCCUGGACCUUCUGGUAUACCUAGAUAACACUCACAUUGGCAAAACCCAAAAGAAAUGAUUCAAAGACUGGCAAAACAAACUCCACAACUAAAGAUAGAGAAGAAACUACACCAAAAAGAUAAGAAGGGGGAGAUGCAGUUUGGGAGCAAAAUGGACCAUGGCCAUCCAGGGUGAAAAGGGAGCGAGUGGCACAGAGAAGGGCACAGAAAUAGAUUAUCAUACUGGGGAGCCCAAAUGGGGACGACAAAUCCCCAUCAUAUUUGGCUUUAAAAGCAAGAAGGGCUGAAUUUUGUGAGUUCUUACAAUCAGGAAGACUUAAAACUUGCAAUUCAAAAAUUAAGUGGGCUAGGCUCUGUGAGAGUCUUGAGGAAGCCAAGUUCCUGCCCCUAAAGAGACAGCAGGACAAACAGCCAGAGGAGACACAGUGAGGAAGCAGCAGUUUGAAAAAUGACUGGGGCAGAAGGGAGGGAGAUUGUUUACUCAUCUCAGAGCUGGCAGUUAGAGGCAGGGAUCACCAUGAGACUGCUGCAGGAACAAAGGAGCUAGAUGACAUUUCCCUCCCCCACCCCCCAAUGUAAACACAUAGCCACCUGCAGGAACCAGCACAGGGCUAACACUCCCUACCGAAUUUUCUUCCAUGAAGCCCUAAACUUCCAAAGAUCUGCCUCUGCCAAUUACAAUUUCUUCAGUCCUGGCACUGAGGACCUCUUCCUGAGAAGACCAGCACAAACCCCCACCAACACCUUGUCUCCUGACCUGUACACUUUGCAGGGCUUCAGUUCCAGCAGCAGUGGUGGACUAGCACAAGCAGACUAGCACACCCCUUGUUAAAACCUGCCCCAUAUAGCCAGGGACCAAACAGGGCCCACAACAGGCAUAGUGAGCUUCUCCAGACAACUGGACUGAAGGGAAAAGAGUACACUCAGCACACAUAGGAGAUGCUCCCUCAAGUGCCAGGCCCUGGGGAAGAGGAGACACUCCACUGUAGGUCACUACAGGACCUCUUCCCCACAAGGCCUUUACCUUCAAGAUCAAGAGAUGUAGCUGACUUUCCUAACACACAGAAACAGACACAGUUAGACAAAAUGAGAAUCCAACGGAAUAUCUCCCAAAUGAGAGUGUAUAAAAACAAGACCCUAGAAGAGACUCAUUUCAGUCCAAAAGCCACCUGCAGAUUGAAAGUAAGGGGAUAGAGAAGCAUUUGUCAUGCAAAUGGUUGUCAAAAGAAAGCUCAAGUAGUAAUAUUUAUAUAGGACAAAAUACACUUGAACACAAAGACUGCAACAAGCGACAAAGAGGAACUAUAUAAUCAUAGAGGGGAUAAUCCAACAAGAAAGCAUACCAAUUACAAAUAUUUAUGCACCCAACAUGGGAUCACCCAAAUAUAUAAAGUAGUUAAUAACAAAUGUAAAUGAACUAGUCAAUAGUAAUACAAUAAUAGUAAAGGAAGUUAACACCCCCACUUACAUCGAUGGACAGAUCAUCUACAUAGAAUCGACAAGGAAAUAGUGGAUUUGAAUAACACACUGGAACAGAUGGCUCUAACACAUAUCUAUUCAUAAUAUUCCAUCCUAAAACAGCAGAAUACACAUUCUUUUUAAGUGCACAUGGAACAUUCUCCAGAAUAGAUCACAUAUUAGGUCACAAAACAAGUCUCAACAAAGUCAAAGGAUUGAAAUUACACUAUGCAUCUUUUCUGACCGCAAUUCUAUGAAACUAGAUAUAAAGCACAAGAAAAAAAUCUGGAAAGAGCACAAAUACAUGAAUGUUAAAUCACAUGCUACUAAACAAUGAAUGGGAGUCAACCAAGAAAUUGAAGAAGGAAUAAACAAUCACAUGAGAACAAAUGAAAAUGAAAACAUAAUGGUGCAAAAUCUAUGGGAUGCAGUACAAGCAGUUCUGAGAAGGAGGUUUGUAGCAAAGCAGGUCUACCUCAAUAAACAACAAAAUCUCUAACAACCUAACUGGAUACCUCAGGGAGCUAGAUAAACGAUAACAAAACCCAAAAUGAGCAGAAAGAAGGAAUAAAGAUUAGAGUAGAAAUAAAUGAAAUAGAAACUUAAAAAAAAAAAAAAAAGGCAGUAGAAAGGGUCAAUGCAAACAGGAGCUAGUUCUUUGAAAAGGUCAAAAAAAUUGAUUACCUCUAGCCAGACUCAGAAGAAAGACAAAAAGAAGGGGAAGGGUAGAGGAUGAGGAAGAGCAGGAGCCAGGACCCCAAUAAACACAAUCACUCAUGAAACAGGAGAAAUAAUAGCCAACACCAUAUAAAUACAAGCAGAUGUGUAAGAAUAUUAUUUAAAUAAUUAUGCCAGGGUGCCUGGGUGGCUCAGUUGGUUAAGUGUCCAACUCUUGAUUUUGCCUCAGGUCAUGAUCUCAUGGUUCAUGGGUUCAGGCCCGGCAUGGGGCUCUGCAGUGACAGUGUGGAGCCUGCUUAUGAUUCUCUCCCAUGCUCUCUCUGCCUAUCCCUCCUCUCCGUCUCUCUCAAAAUAAGCAAACAUUUAAAAAUUACAGCGACAAAUUGGACAACCUGGAAGAAAUGGAUAAAUUCCUUCAAAUAUACAGCCUUCCAAAAUCCAAUCAAGAAGAAAUAGAAAAUUUGAAUAGCUCAAUAACCAGAAAAUAAGUUAUAAGCCUAUCAAUGUUGUAUUCAGAUUGUUACAGUGAAUAUGAAGCAUGCGGUCUCUCCUUUAUAAAGAAAAAGACCAUAAAACUUGAGUAUGAAAUAAAAAAAUAAAUAAAUGAGAAAUUAAGACACUCCAGGUAAACAAAAGCAAAGGGAUACUACCACUAUACUACCCUAUAGUAAUACUAAAGGAAGCAAAACUAUAUGGUCAACUAAUCUUCGACAAAGCAGGGAAGUAUAUCCAAUGGGAAAAAGACUGUGUCUUCAACAAAUGGAGUUGGACAGUAACAUGCACAAGAAUGAAACUGAACCACUUUCUUACACAAAAAUAAAUUCAAAAUGGGUGAAAGACCUAAAUGUGAGACAGGGAACCUUCAAAAUCCUAGAGGAGAACACAGGCAGCAACCUCUUUGACUUCAUUUGGAGCAGCUUCUUACUAGAUAUGUAACCGAAGGCAAGCAAAGCAAAAGCAAACAUCAAGAUAAAAAGCUUUUGCACAGUGAAGGAAACAAUCAACAAAACAACUCCUAUGGGAGAAGAUAUUUGCAAAUGACAUAUUGGAUAAAGGGUUGCUAUCCAAAAUCUAUAAAGAACUUACCAAACUUAACACCCAAAAAAACAAAUAAUCCGAUGAAGAAAUGAAUAGACACUUUUCCAAAGAAGACAUGUACAUGGCCAACAGACACAUUAAAAUAUGCUCAACAUCACUCAUCAUUAAGGACAUACAAAUCAAAACCACGAUGAGAUACAACCUCACACCUGUCAGGAUGGCUAAAAUUAACAACACAAGAAAACAGGUGUUGGAAAGGAUGUGGAGAAAGGGGAACCUUCUUGCACUGCUGGUGGGAAUACAAACUGGUGCAGCCAUUCUGGAGAACAGUAUGGAGGUUCCUCAAAAAAACUAAAAAUAGAACAACCCUAUAGUCUAGUAAUUACACUAUUAGCUAUUUACCCAAAGGACACACAAAUGCAGAGUUAUAGGGGUACAUGCACCUGGGCAUAUAUAGCAGCAUUAUCAACAAUAGCCAAACUAUGGAGAAAGCCCAAAUGUCCAUCAACAGAUGAAUGCAUAAAAAAGAUGUGGCAUAUAUACACAAUGGAAUAUUACUCGGCCAUCAAAAGGAAUGAAAUCUUGGCAUUUGCAAGGUGGAGCCAGAAAGUAUUAUGGUAGAUAACAUAAGUCAAACAGAAAGACAAAUACCAAAUGAUUUCACUCAUAUGGGGAAUAUAAGUAAUAAAACAAAUGAACAUAUGAAAAGAGGUGAGGGAGAAUAAAGGAAAACAAACCACAAGGGACUCUUAACAAUAGAAAACAAACAGAGUUGAUGGAGGGAGAUGAAUGGGAGAUGGGCUAGAUGGGCAAUGAGUAUUAAGGAAGGCGCUUGUUGUGAUGAGCACUGGGUGUUGUAUGUAAGUUAUGAAUCAUUGAAUUCUACUUCUGAAACCAAUACUGCACUGUAUGUUAAAUAAAAUUAAAUAUAUAUACAUAUAUAUAUAUGUGUGUGUGUAUAUAUAUAUAUAUAUAUAUAUAUAUAUAUAUAUAUAUAUAUUCUUCUAAAAACUAUUCCAAAAAUAGAAGAGGAAGGAAAACUUCCAUAUUCAUUCUAUGAGGCCAAUAUCACCCUGAUUCCAAAAUCAGGCAAAGACAUUACCAAAAAAAAAAAAAGAGAGAGAGAGAGAGAGAGAGAGAACGGGCAAAUAUCUCUGAUUAACAUAGAUGCAAAAAUCCUCAAAAAAUAAUAGCAAACCAAAUUCAGCAAUACAUUUAAAAAAUCAUUCAUCAUAGGAUCCCACCAAUUGUGAUUUAUUUCCAGAAUGCAAGGGUGGUUCAAUGUUCAUAAAUCAAACAACACAAUACAUCACAGGAACAAGAGUAAGAAUAAAAGCUAUAUGAUCAUUCUAAUAGAUACAGAAGAAGCCUUUAAAAAGUAGGUCUAGAGGGAACAUACCUCAAAAUAUUAAAGGCCUUAUAUGAAAAACCCACAUAAAAAUCAUACUCAAUGGAGAAAAACUGAGAACUUUUCCCCUAAGGUCAGGAAUAAGACAAGGUUGUCCACUCUCAAUGCUUACAUUCAACAUAGUACUAGACGUCCUAGCCACGGCUGUUGGACAACAUAAAGAAAUAAAAGGCAUCCAAAUUGGCAAGGAAGAAGUAAAACUCUCACUACUUGCAGAAGACAUGGAGCUAUAUACUGAAAACCCUGUUAACUCUACCAAAGAACUACUAAAACUGAUAAAUUAAUUCAGUGAAGUUGAAACAACUUCAAUGGACAGAAAUCUGUUGUAGUUCUAUACAGUGAAAUUAAGAAAACAAUCCUAUUUAAAAUUGUACCAAAAAUAAUAAGAUACCUAGGAAUAAACUUAACCAAAGAAAUGAAAGGCUUGUACUCUGAAAACAAUAAAACAUUGAGUAAAGAAACUGAAGAUGACACAAACAAAUGGAAAGAAAUUCCAUGUUCAUGGAUUGGAAGAACAAAUGUUAAAACGUCUAUGCGACCUAAAGCAAUCUACAAAUUUAAUGCAAUCCCUAUCAAAAUACCAACAACAUUUCUCACAGAACUAGAACAAACAAUCCUAAAAUUUUCAUGGAGCCAUAAAAGACCCUAAAUAGCCAAAGAAAUCUUGAAAAAAAACAAAACUGGAGAUAUCACAAUUCCAGACUUCAAGCUAUAUUACAAAGUGGUAGUAAUCAAAACGCUAUGAUACAGGCAUAAAAAUAGACACAUACAUCAAUAGAACAGAAAACCUAGAAAUAAAGCCUUCAUUAUAUGGUCAAUUAAUAUUCAGUGAAGGAGGUAUAAAUAUACAAUGGGAAAAAGACAGUUCUCUUCAACAAAUUGGUGCUGGGAAAAAUGGAAAAAGUAGACAGCCACAUGCCAAAAAAUGAAAUUGGACUCCUUUCCUAGACCAUACACAAAAAUAAACUCAAAAUGGAUUAAAGACCUAAAUACAGGACCUGAAACCAUAAAAAUGCUAGAAAAGAACACAGGCAGUAAUUUCUCUGGCAUCAGCCAUAGCAACAUUUUUCUAGAUAUGUUCCCUGAGGCAAAGGAAAUAAAAGCAAAAACAAACUAUAGGGAUUACAUCAAAAUACAAAGCUUCAUAACAGUGAAGAAAACUGUCAACAAAACUAAAAGAUACCCUAAGGAAUGGGAGAAGAUAUUUGCAAAUGACAUAGCUGAUAAAGGGUUAGUAUCCAAAAUAUAUGAAGUACUUCUACAACUCAACACCAAAAAACAAAUAAUCCAAUUUAAAAAUGGACAGGAGACAUGGACAGACAUUUCUUCCAAGAAGACAUAUAGAAGGCCAACACAUACAUGAAAAUAUGCUCAACAUCAAUCAUCUUCAGGAAAAUGCAAAUCAAAAGCACAAUGUGAUAUUACCCCACACCUGUCAGAAUGGCUAAAAUCAAAAACAUAAGAAACAACAAGUGUUGGCAAGGAUUCAAAAAAAAGUGACCCCUCUUGAAUUGUUGGUGGGAAUGCAAACUGGUGUGGCCAUUGGGGAAAAUAUUGUGGAGUUUCCUCCAAAAGUUAAAAAUAGAACUACCCUGUUUUCCAGUCAUUGCACUACUGGGUAUUUACCUAAAAAAUACAAAAACACUAAUUCCAAGGGACACAUUCACCCCUGUGUUUAAGCAUUAUUUACUUACAAUAGUCAAACUAUGGAAGUAGCCCAAUAUAGUGGUCUAUAUAUACAAUGGAAUAUUAUUCAGCCAUAAAACAGAAUGGAAUCUUGCCAUUUGGAACAGCAUGGAUGGAUCUAAAGAGUAUAACUUUAAGUGAAAUAUUCAGUCAGAGAAAGACCAACACCAUAUGACUUUACUCAUAUGUAGAAUUUAAGAAACAAAACAAAGGAGCAAAGGAAACAAAGACACACACAGAAAAUCAAGAGAGAACAAACUGAUGGUUAUCAGAAGGGAGGUGGGUGAGGGGACAGGUGAAAUAGGUGAUGGGUUUAAAGAAUACACUUAUUUUUUUAAAAAGUACAUUCAUAUUAGUGAGCACUGAGUAAUUAUAGAAUUACUGAAUCACCUGAAACUAAUAUAACACUGUUAUUUAUGUGGGCAUUUAAAAAUAAUGAUUUUUAAAAAAUCUUCAUAUUCAGGUUUCUCAUUUCUGAAUACCUCCAUUAGUAGAUAUUGACUGUCAUGAAUCCCACAGAUGCAAACAUAAAUUUUUAAAAGUUCAGAUUAUUUUAGUUAAGGAUUUGUGAGUUAUAGGGAUGGAAUGAUUAGUUGCAAAAGUGGAUUCCUUGGAAAUUACUUCAUAUCUAUGUAGAGGUCUUCUGAAAACUUAUCAGAUUUAUUAUCACCUCAAAGUUUCUUGGGUUUUAUGAAUUUUCCAAGGUGAUUUGCCCCUGACCACUGUUACACUUCAUAACUUGAGGCAGGAUGUUUGUAUCCAUUCUGUUUUGUUAUGCUCUAUUUUUGCUGUCAUCUGAAAUGCCCUUUGAAAAUAUAUUAAACAGUUUGGGGGAGCCUGGGUGGCUCAGUCGGUUGAGCGUCUGUCUUCGGCUCAGGUCAUGAUCUCGCGGUCCGUGAGUUCGAGCCCCGUGUCGGGCUCUGUGCUGACCGCUCAGAGCCUGGAGUCUGUUUCAGAUUCUGUGUCUCCCUCUCUCUCUGACCCUCCCCCGUUCAUGCUCUGUCUCUCUCUGUCUCAAAAAUAAAUAAACAUUAAAAAAAGAAAAUACAUUAAACAGCUUCUUUAACAUAUGUGUUCUAAUACAGUGUAUGAAAUCAAUUCACUAAUCCACAAAUUAAAAUAAUGCCUAGAUAUACCUGAUGUUAUAGUGGAGAUCUAUUUUCAAAGAUGACCCAUUAGCCCAUGAUUGAUUAUUAGUGUGGACAAAUUUUUCAGAUAAAUGCACUUGAACUAACCCAGAAAAAAGGGACUUUGAUUGCCAAAUGGGACAGAGAGGCAUCCCAUUUUGAAGGCAAAGCAUUGUUGUAAGAAGUAAAACAUGGAUGUUACCUUAAUGAAGGUAAACUGAGGCUACAUUUGACACCACAGUUGUGAGGAGUGAGUAUGAAUAUGUGAUGUGCCUUCAGAGCUUUCUGAGAAUUCUGAGUGUCCAAGAGAAAGAGCAAAACUAUGAGGAACAUUAAAGAACAUUUGCUGGUUUUUUUUACGUUACUGAUGUAGAAACUGAAGUAAUCAACUUAAUGUAUUGUCCAUAUUGUACCAGACUCUGUUAUUUAUUUUUAAAACUGUGUAAGAUCAUGUAAUAAUUUCCUACUUUUAACCAUGUUGACAAUAGAAUUCUUUUCUCAGAUAUAAUCUUUAAAGAUUAUACACCUAGCCUUUGAAGUAGCUUGUUAAACAUAUAUUGUAGGAGAUUGUCCUACAUAUCAAUUUUACCCAUCUUUGUCUGAUUUGCUCUUCCGUGUAUUUAUUUACAUUGCUUUGCACCCUUUGCAUUUUACCCAUGGGUACUACAGGGAUGUCUUGAAGUGUUAACUAACAUCUCUAACAGUUUUUGACAUUGCAUGAUCCCUGAGGAAAACUAUGGUUGUGUAUUCUAUGUCUACAUUAAUUAUGACUUUUACUUAUGCAAAUUUGAUAAGUCAUUGGAGAGUGGAAAUGGUGAGUAUGUUGGAGAUAAAGUAAAAUCCUUUCUAGUUAAUUGAUUUUUCAUUUGCUUUACUGCAUUAAGUGGAAUUGUGUUAGCAAUGAACUUAACUCAGACUGGGUUUUAUUCCUUUGAUCUAUUGCUUCAUGAAAUCUAUCUCUUCCUUUCUUUUCAUGUAUGGUAAAUGCUUACCAUUCUGCUUUUUAUCCUCUGACCUAAGCUAAUUAGUUUCCUUCACCGUCAUAACACUAUGAUAACUCUUAUUUCUACCACUCCUCUUUAGAAUGAUACAAGUAUAAUGAAGAGUCCUGUGAAUUACAUUUUAACUGUAUAACCACAUAAAAUGUGAAACUUUUUGAGAAGUGAGUCAAACAUAUUAUGCAUGCGAUGUAACAGAUCUCAUCUGUUUCUCAUCUUAAAGCUCCUUAGAUCUUCUUAGGGACAACAUCUUCAACCUAUAAAAUGGUAUUUUGAGGAGAGCAGACAUUUCAGUGAGUCUAAAUUUAAAGUUAGAGGAUUAUCUCCAAGGUUGAUCUAUUGGAAUUACUUAUCUGGACCGAAGUAAUUCAAGUAAUUCAGGUGUAGUGAAACACUUCUAAUUUUAAAUUCAGAAGCAUUAAGGAGUGAGUUGGAUUAUUGGCUAUAGCACUUAGUUGAUCCUCUUUCUUAUCAUCCUUGACUUUUAAAGCCUGGCCUUUUUUUAAAUGUUCUUCAGAAAUCCAUGUGCUCACAGCAUUUGAUUCAUUAAUUUUGAAUGACUAUUAUAAAGGCCUUUUAAGUGAUAAGUUCAGAGAUACCUAAAAACCCAAGUGUGAACAUACACAAUUAAAAGAAAGAACUCUGUAAAAAUGUCAUAAUGAAUCAGAAGUUCCAAAGUGAAUCUUGGGUGAAAGGAGACUGAUCAUAUUUUACAGGCAAGUCAUUUUUUUUUUCAAAGUCUGAAUCUUCACUAAAUGGAUCCUUGGCAUUGAAGAAAUUUCAGCAGUGAAAAGGGGUGCUCUUGCUUUGGUCUCAAAGACACAGUUGUGUCUCAUGGGUUAAACUACACCUGGUGUUAAAUGCCAAGGUGAUGUAUGAAAAGGGAGUAACAGAAAAUUAAGACCCAGAGGCUAAGAAAACGGGACCAAUGCAGGUAUCAGCCACGGAUACACUAUACCAGAAUGAGGAGGGUUCUAGCUACUGAUGACAAAGAAGCCACUGAAAGUCCCUGCUGGGAAAGCCAUCCUAUUCAAGAUUUAAAAGACCUCUUUAGGAAAGGAAACCUAUGACAACUAUGUUCGUUCUGUGGUCCAUAUUAAUGAUGUCUUCUCUCUCCCUAGGUUGGAAAGACAAUGCACUCAUACAGGAGGAGAACAGAAAGCCCUCAUACAUCACUGAACAGGAAUCAGACCUCUUGUACAAACAUCAAGCACCUCUGAAAAUAAGCACCACUAAAUCUACAUGGAAUCAGGAAACGUUUCAGGCUACUGCACCCCCUCACUGAUCAAUGACACUCUGUCCCUUUAAAACCCUCUUGGCUAGGCAGAAACACAGAGUUGGCUUUUGGACAAGAGUCUGCCUUCUCCCCAGCUGGCUGGCCUCCUGAAUAAAGCUCAUAUGCCUUGCCAACCAACAGCCAUCUCUUGAGUAUUGGCCUUUUGACCAAUGGGCAGCCGAACAUGGGAUUUGGUAACAUGCCCUUCUCAUAGUUGGAGACCACUGAAUUAAAAGUUAUCAGAAAAAAAUCCUCUUCUCCUAUACCUUCUCAAUCUUUAUAUCUCUUUCUUAUAUUUCUUAUUUGAGAAGCCUUGAAUUCUUGAGGACUAAGAAGUCUUCCUUGUUUUCAUUUGAAUUUUGAUACAAAUAACUUUGUUCCAAAGAACAUCAAAAUAGAUAGCUUACCAGGGGUGCCUGGAUGGCUUAGUCAGUUAAGCGUCCAACUUCAGCUCAGGUCAUGAUCUCAUGGUUGAUGAGUUCAAGUCCCAUGUUGGGCUCUGUGCUGACAAAUCAGAGCCUGGAACUUGCUUCAGAGUCUGUGUGUCCCUCUCUGUCUGCCCCCUCUCCUCCUGUCUCUCUGCCUCUCAAAAGUAAAUAAACUUUAAAAAAAAUAGUUUAGCAGAUAUUAAUAUUCAUGCCUUAUUAAAAUAAUGUUUUAUGUAAUAUUUUGUAGUAUUUAUAGAUGGACUAUCUAUGAAUAGUCCUUCUUGGAAUGGUUUUAUACUUUAAAUAAUAUAAAAUUAAUUAAUGCUUUAUAUAUUUAAAUAGUCAUACAAUAGGUAGAAAUGUUGAAUGACUAAAUUAAAGGAAUUUAGAAAAGAUUAUUUAUUAUCCACUGUACUUAAAGCUGAAAAGUGCUGAAAACAAUUUUAUUAGUUGUCUUUAAUUAGAGUUUAAGGUAAACAAUAAAGGAAACUUAGAUAUACUAAACUCCCCAUAAUACACCCUAUGCAACAAUACAGAAUUAUGUCUAGUAUGCUACUCAAGAUUAAGCAUUAAAGAAAAAGCAGCAGAUAUCAACAUUUACAUUGGCAAAUGCAUUUAUCUUCAGUUGAUUAGAGCAAAUAUGGUCUUUUCAGACAACGUGGCUCUAGUGAGGUGAAUUUACUUCUUGGUUUUAAAUUCUGUACAAUAAAAAGUAAAGGGAUCUCAAUUUAAAGCUGAAUUCUUCUAUGCAGCACAUUUUAUAUCUACCUGAAUUCAAGUUUAUGUGCCUAAUGAAUGAGUUACAAUGCUCAAGCACCUAUUAAUAAUGAGAAGAUGAAGUUAGAUAAGAUGCGGCUUGCCUGAUCUUUGCAAGUCUCCCAGAACCAAGGUGCACUGCCAUUUAAGCAUGCAUCUUUAAGAAUCGCAGUGUGUGCAAGGAUGCUUAGGUUUCAAAAAAAUCCCUCAAUGAUGAAGAAGAAAUUAUCUGUUGUGUCAUCACCUCCCAAGAAGCUCUUCUAUAAAUAAGGUUAACACAGACCAAAUAAGACUUUUCCUUUUGGAGAAACAAGGACCACACAUGUGCCUGUGAUAACUCAUAUGUGUUUCAUAGAAAUGAUAAAGUUAUUAUGCGGUGGCCUAUUUGGCCAGUUUUGAAUUAGAAGCCUUAGAACAAAUUCCAUAUGUCGGAAAUUGAGUGAGUAAACUCGUGUUGAAUAAUGAGAAUGAUAAAUUAAAGAAUAUACGUGUGAUUUAUCAUCCCUUCCUAGAGAACACCUUUAGCAAUAGCAAAUGUAAAUUAAGAUGACACUACAAAACAGAUUAGGGGAGAAUAGCAUGCAGAAUUCCAGCGAGAUUAACAAUGAGGACAGGAGGCAUUUUAAAAAUCACAGAAGAUAUUCAAGCACCUACUGGUCUUGGAAAGAGUCAGUGUUUGUCUAGUCCCUUUCAUCCAAGAAUCUCACUACAUUUAAAUGUAUUUCAAAUUGAUUUUCACGUUCUAAAGCAUUCAUAUUGUAAUUUAAAUCCAACAGAUCAAAAUAAAAAUCACAGUGCCCUGUGUUUAUUAAAAACUACAAAACAGAAAGAAAACUACUAAUGAAUCCCUCUUGGUAAAUUAUUCACAAACAGACACAAACACAGGGAAGAUGAGCAGAAAACACUGUGCUUCACUAACACUGUGGGGUAGGAUAAUUUAUUGGAAAAUUCAUUUGUGUUUUGGUUUCUCUGCUAAGGAAAAAUCAGAAAGAAUGAGUUCACAGUGUUUUGUGCUCUACAUUUUUCCAUCCGUUCUGACUAGGUCCUUGUAUUUCUUUGCCUCAGGGGCUUCUCAGGGCCUAAAGCAGAAGAUGCUUGAAAAUAACCUCUCUUCCUGGCUUUUUUAAAAGUCCAAACCAGGGGUCACACUCUCAAAUACCAACAGAGCCAGGCUGGCACCUAAGUGAACAAAGUUGGACUGGGUUUAAUUUUUCCCACGUAGGCUCAAUUUAAUUGCAUAUUUAUCUAUGAAGGAAUGUUUUUACACUAAGGAAUACAUUUUUCCAUUUUCUAAAAAAAAAAUAUUUAGAAUUUUGGUCCACUUUUCUUCUCUUUUGAUAGUGUCAAUGAAAAAUUGCACCGGAAUUAAACAGGAAAGGAAAACUUUAUUCAAGAUUAUAACAAUAGAGGUGAAGACUGUUGCCACAGGAAAAAGACACCGAAGUCAACUUUGCUGAAACAGAAAGUAGGAGGAUUCUUAAAUGCUGGAGCAAGCUAAUGAAAAAUAUAGGGGAACAUUGGGGAAGGCUGGUCUAUGUGGUUAGGCCAUCUGUGUUGGGUUCCUACCAUCCCAGAGAGAUUGGGAUACAGGGGUACUAAUUCUUUUGAUUAUUACAUUUGAAAGGAAUAGCCCCCAGGUCUUUGAGAAAGACCUUCCAAGGUUACAAAAAUGGGCAAGAACUUGGGAGAAGACUUACAUCUCAGAGGGGCAGAGAAAAAAUUCAGAGGACCAAGUUUUCUAAAUAAGUAAGCUCAAAAAAAAGGAGGUCAGAGACCUAUUACCAGGAAGAAGCCUAUAUGAAAUUUAGUUAAACCAGGGGGAAACUUAAGGCCUUCAUGGUCAACAGUGACAUAGCUGUAGGGAGAUAUUUCUCUUAUACUAGGAAGACAACAGUGUAAAUGUGAUAACUGGCAAGGACCAGCAGGUUAAUGUCCUGGGAGAUGUUAGUUGUCCUGAUGAGGAAACCUGAAGCCUGCAAGCCUCAUCUAAAGGGAGCAGUAGUACACUGCCCCAGCUAGUGUUCUCAGGAGGAACUGCAGACCUAGUUUUGCCAGAUGUGUUAAUUUUUCAGGAGUAUCCAUAUUUUUAUCUAGGCAAUUAAUUUAAAGUUUUUCAUCACUUUGAAAUACUAGCAA
This is a long non-coding RNA of Acinonyx jubatus (cheetah), 15394 nucleotides long. RefSeq lists it as uncharacterized. NCBI's taxonomy places the organism in Eukaryota, Metazoa, Chordata, Mammalia, Carnivora, Felidae. The transcript is spliced from 4 exons. The record is from RefSeq and is a predicted model, not a curated record.